Molecule: ribosomal RNA, 429 nt
Filed under: Bacteroidota bacterium
Lineage: Bacteria; Pseudomonadati; Bacteroidota
Description: Bacteroidetes bacterium partial 16S ribosomal RNA
Rfam family: Bacterial small subunit ribosomal RNA
Source: RNAcentral
UAGGGAAUCUUCGGCAAUGGGGGGAACCCUGACCGAGCAACGCCGCGUGAGUGAAGAAGGUUUUCGGAUCGUAAAGCUCUGUUGUUAAGGAAGAACGAGUGUGAGAAUGGAAAGUUCAUGCUGUGACGGUACUUAACCAGAAAGGGACGGCUAACUACGUGCCAGCAGCCGCGGUAAUACGUAGGUCCCGAGCGUUGUCCGGAUUUAUUGGGCGUAAAGCGAGCGCAGGCGGUUAGAAAAGUCUGAAGUGAAAGGCAGUGGCUCAACCAUUGUAGGCUUUGGAAACUGUUUAACUUGAGUGCAGAAGGGGGGAGUGGAAUUCCAGGUGUAGCGGUGAAAUGCGUAGAUAUAUGGAGGAACACCGGUGGCGAAAGCGGCUCUCUGGUCUGUAACUGACGCUGAGGCUCGAAAGCGUGGGGAGCGAACAGG